RNAcentral lists this unclassified non-coding RNA (6305 nucleotides) under Harpegnathos saltator (Jerdon's jumping ant). RNAcentral's name for it is "transcription initiation factor TFIID subunit 1, transcript variant X1". The record is from RNAcentral. Lineage: Eukaryota; Metazoa; Arthropoda; Insecta; Hymenoptera; Formicidae.
UUAGUCGUUUCAUGUUCAAUGCAUCAAGUCAGUGUGGUUUUGCGUGUGUUUCUUCUCGCAGCCAUUGUUAGUUGAUUUCUGUUCGUUUUUCAGAGUGAACUGAUCAUUGAUUUUGAUAAAGUUAAUCUCGAUAAGAGACAAAAAAGAUGGGAGAUUCUGAAGAAGAAAAUGAGAAAGAUUUGGCAUCUGGCCUUAACAUUACCGGCUUCCUCUUCGGUAAUAUCGAUGAUAAUGGUCAGCUGGAGGAUGAUAUUUUGGAUCCUGAAGCCAAACAACAAUUGGCUUCACUUAGUCGCCUUGGAUUAAGUUCUUUCAUUAGCGAAAUGAUACAAAAUGAAUCAGCCACUGAGGACAAAAAAGAUAAUGGAACUGAAUAUGAAAACGAGAAUCAAAUCAAAGUUGGAAAUGAUAAGGAUAUGGAUUGUGUUGUAAAGUUACCUACUGCUGAAGAUUUUUCUGAUAUAAACGAGUUGGCAGAUGAUAUAAAUGAUGAAGCUCUUAAGAAUAUUGAUUUUGACAAAAAAGAUAAAGAAAAUGCUGAUUAUGAUGCUGACGAUGAAGAAGUUGUCAGUAAAUUAGAUAAACAAUUGAUGCCUCCUCCACCUGUACCUGAAGAAAAGGAAAUUUUAACUGAGGAAGAGGCAGAAGCAGUACGUCAACGUAAACUGGAGACACCCCUUGCAGCUAUGUUGCCUUCUAAAUAUGCUAAUACUGAUGUUACUGAAUUAUUUCCGGAUUUCCGUACCAACAAAGUUCUCAGAUUCUCUAGAUUGUUCGGUCCAGGAAAACCAAGUAGCCUGCCACAGAUUUGGAGAGGUGUAAGAAAACGACGUAAGAAGAGAAAACAUCAUGAUAUCAGAGACUCUGAUUCUGGUUCUGAUCAGGAGGACAGGAGGACUAAAUUUAAAGGUUGGAUUAUGAAUUAUGGUCCUGAACCAAGUAUAGAUAUGUGCCGUUCAGAUGAUGAGGCCAAGCUGCUUUUACCUGUGGAAGACAAGGAGCAAACUGGUAAGACAGGUGAUACUGGAGAAAAUGGCGAUAUGGGUCCUAAAGUAGCUGACUGGAGAUUUGGGCCUGCACAACUUUGGUAUGAUAUGCUGGAAGUUCCAGAGACUGGAGAUGGUUUCAACUAUGGCUUUAAGUUGGUUGAAAAAGAGCAAUCAGAAGAGCAAGAAAAUGACAAAUCUAAAAACAAGUUUAAGAAUGAGGAAAAUAUUAAAGACGAGGAAUUCGCAGACGAUGCAUUUUUAAUGGUAUCACAGUUGCAUUGGGAAGAUGAUGUUGUCUGGAACGGAGACGAUAUAAAGCAUAAAGUAAUGCAAAAGUUGAAUAGCAAAAACAAUGCGGCUGGUUGGGUACCUUCAAGUGGCAAUAGAACUGCACAAGCUUUCAGCCAACCAGGAAAAGGUGCUCCUGUCACUGUGGUACCCAACGUCAGGCUAGCCACUUCACAAAUCACAACGCCACUUCAUAUGCAGUCACAAAAGAAUAAAAUGAAUAUGGGCAAAGGUAGUCAACAGCAACAGCGUGAGGAGAAUUACGACGACACCUGGUACUCUAUAUUUCCAGUGGAGAACGAGGAACUUGUGUACGGCUUAUGGGAGGAAGAAGUAAUAUGGGAUCCAGAGAACAUGAAGAAGUUCCCCAAGCCGAAGAUACUCACAUUGGACCCUAACGACGAAAAUAUCGUAUUGGGCAUACCAGACGACAUAGACCCGGCUCUUCUUCAUAAGGAUAACGGGCCACAGCCCAAAGUGAAGAUUCCGCAUCCACACGUCAAGAAAAGCAAGCUAUUGUUGGGCAAAGCGGGUGUCAUUAACGUUCUAGAGGAGGAUACACCUCCUCCACCGCCUAAGUCGCCCGAUAGGGAUCCGUUUAACAUAUCAAAUGAUACAUACUACAUGCCCAGAUCAUCGGAAACUACGUUAAGACUAAAAGUCGGCGGCGGCAAUUUAAUACAGCACAGCACUCCAGUGGUGGAGUUACGUGUUCCUUUCGUACAAACACACAUGGGUCCAAUGCGAUUGAGGAACUUCCACAGACCGCCAUUACGAAGGUUCAGCCAUGGUCCAUUGGCUCAUCCAGGACCACAUUCUGUUUUGCCUUUAUUGAAAAACAUUAAAAAGAAAGCUAAGCAACGAGAACAAGAAAGAAUUUCUUCCGGCGGAGGCGACGUAUUUUUCAUGAGAACACCCGAGGAUUUGACGGGUCGGGAUGGCGAGUUGGUGCUUAUCGAGUUCUCCGAAGAGCAUCCUCCGCUCAUGAAUCAGGUCGGCAUGUGUUCGAAAGUGAAGAACUAUUACAAGAGACGAGCCGGCAAAGAUCAAGGUCCGCAGACGUACAAAUACGGGGAAACAGCCUACGCUCACACUAGCCCUUUCCUUGGCAUACUCACUCCUGGCCAAAGUAUACAAGCGGUUGAGAAUAAUAUGUACAGAGCGCCCAUCUACGAGCACAAAAUCCCCGAAACCGAUUUCUUGGUUAUAAGAACGAGGCAACAAUAUUAUAUCAGAGAGGUGGAUGCAUUAUUUGUCGCCGGACAAGAAUGUCCCUUGUAUGAAGUUCCAGGACCCAACUCAAAAAGAGCGAACAACUUCGUCCGCGACUUCCUACAAGUGUUCAUUUACAGACUAUUUUGGAAAUCACGCGACACUCCUCGACGGAUUAAGAUGGACGACAUAAAGAAAGCCUUUCCAUCCCACAGCGAGAGUAGCAUUAGGAAAAGGUUAAAACUAUGCGCAGACUUUAAAAGAACUGGAAUGGAUUCUAACUGGUGGGUGAUAAAACCAGACUUUAGAUUACCAACGGAAGAAGAGAUACGCGCUAUGGUGUCGCCGGAGCAGUGUUGUGCUUAUUUUAGCAUGAUCGCGGCAGAACAACGGUUGAAAGACGCUGGAUAUGGCGAGAAGUUUCUUUUCACGCCGCAGGACGACGACGAUGAAGAGAUGCAGCUCAAAAUGGACGAUGAAGUAAAAGUAGCACCGUGGAAUACGACGCGUGCCUACAUUCAGGCCAUGAAAGGAAAGUGCCUGCUUCAACUGGCAGGUCCAGCUGAUCCAACUGGUUGCGGUGAAGGCUUCUCUUACGUCAGAGUGCCGAAUAAGCCCACUAUCAGCAAGGAGGAACAAGAAGCUCAACCGAAGAGAACCGUAACUGGUACAGACGCGGACUUGAGAAGACUGUCUUUGAACAACGCGAAAGCGUUGCUGCGUAAAUUUGGUGUACCUGAAGACGAGAUUAAGAAGCUAUCGCGUUGGGAGGUAAUCGAUGUGGUGCGAACUUUGUCGACGGAGAAAGCAAAGGCUGGUGAAGAAGGCAUGACCAAGUUCUCGCGUGGUAAUCGUUUUUCUAUCGCCGAACAUCAGGAACGGUACAAGGAAGAAUGUCAGCGUAUAUUUGACCUGCAGAAUCGUGUGUUAUCAUCGAACGAAGUUCUAAGUACAGACGAAGGUGAGAGCUCCGAGGAAGAUAGCUCGGACAUCGAAGAGAUGGGCAAAAAUAUCGAAAAUAUGUUAUCGAACAAAAAGACCAGCACGCAGCUGUCGUUGGAGAGAGAAGAACAGCAACGGCAUGAGCUGCGUAAGAUGUUAAUGGGCGAAGCACAAGAACAGGAGAAAAAAGGUAAAGAGAGCAAGAAGAAAGACGACGAGGAAGACAGUCCGGUUAACAAUUUCAACGCGCAACAAGGCCGCGUACUAAAAAUCUACCGCACUUUCCGCAAUCCGGAGGGCAAAGAAUUCACGCGAGUCGAGCUAGUAAGAAAGCCCGCUGUGAUUGACACGUACAUCAAGAUCCGUAACUCGAAGGACGAGACGUUCAUCAAGCAAUUCGCCACGUUGGACGAUGCUCAAAAGGAGGAGAUGAAACGAGAGAAGCGCCGUAUACAGGAACAAUUGCGUCGGAUUAAGCGAAAUCAAGAGAGAGAACGUAUGUUGGGUGGACCGAUUGUGAUGAGCGGCAGUGGUGUUAGCGGCGGUGGUGCUGCCAGUGGCAGCAGUUCGAGCAGUGCCUUCGACCGCAACAGUUCCAAUAUUCCGUCCAUUCCCACAUCUACGACCAGUAUCCUUCCGUUCUGUAAUUUCCAAUCUUCCAACUCCACAUCCUCUAAACAUCCUAAACAGGAGGUAUCCCCUCCCAAACGUAAAAAACCUAAACUCAAACCAGAUCUUAAGCUUAAAUGUGGCGCCUGCGGCAACGUCGGCCACAUGCGUACGAAUAAAGCUUGUCCUCUUUAUCAGAACAGCAUUACCAAUACUGCACCGGUGAAUGUUGCCAUGACCGAGGAACAGGAAGAGGAAAUCGAGAAGCAGUUGAACACCGAUGAUCAGGAUCUGGUUAAUGUCGAUGGUACCAAGGUGAAAUUAUCAUCGAAGCUGAUUAAGCACGCUGAAGAAAUGAAGAGACGUACGUUGCUGCUCAAAGUACCCAAGGAGGCAGUGAAUUCGAAGAAACGUAGAAAACCGCCUACCGACGAUCAUUGUGAUUAUUUGAAACGCCAUCAGAGGCCGGUUAAUAGACGCAGAACGGACCCUGUGGUCGUAAUGUCGACGAUACUGGAAAGUAUCGUAAACGAAAUGAGGGACAUGCCGGACGUGCAGCCAUUCCUGUUUCCUGUGAAUGCUAAGGCCGUACCCGAUUACUACAAGAUCAUACAAAGACCUAUGGACCUGCAGACUAUACGAGAGAAUUUACGGAUGAAGAAAUAUCAAAGUAGAGAAGAUUUCCUAGCGGACGUUAAUCAAAUUGUGGAGAAUUCGAAACUUUACAACGGAACAAAGAGUUCAUUGACUGUAGCAGCUACGAGAAUGUUAGAGAUGUGCGGCGCGAGACUCUUCGAGAGGGAUGACCGUCUAAUGAGAUUAGAGAAGGCUAUUAAUCCUCUUUUAGACGACAACGAUCAAGUUGCCUUUACUUUCAUCUUGGACACUGUAGUCAACAACAAACUGAAAUCCAUGUCGGAAAUAUGGCCGUUCGCGAAACCCGUCAAUAAAAAGAUGGUGAAAGAUUAUUAUAAUAUAGUCAAGAGACCGAUGGACUUAGAAACAAUAUCUAAAAAAGUUUCUGCACAUAAAUAUCACAACCGUCAUGAUUUUCUCAAAGAUAUCGAGCAGAUCUUGGAGAAUUGCAUACUUUACAACGGAAAAGAUUCUUCGUUCACGAAUAAAGCGGAAUUGUUGGUUAAAGUGUGCAAAGAAACACUAGAAGAGUACGAUGAACAUUUAACGCAUCUGGAAAAUAAUAUACUACUUGUGCAAAAGCGAGCAAUGGAGCAAGCAGAUAUAGAUCCUUCGUGGCUUGGCCCAGACGAUGAAGUUGUAGGAGAAUCCAGAGACAGUCUGACCAGUUCAAAUCUAUUCGACAAAUCGCACAUGGACGAAUUCGAUUUCGUAGACGUAGAUGGUGACAUGGAGACGGAAGUUGAUAGAAUUUCGAAGAAGAAAGACAUGCUUGAGGAAGAUUUACAAUUCUCCAGUGAGGAUGAGUUCGAUGAGGUACCGUUCGGCGCAGAGGAACAUUCCGAACAUACCGAAAUGGAGACACUGGAGUUAAGCGAGGUCAGGGAAGAAGGAGUUGUGCUAGCAGACGACGAUAGUCAACAAGCUGCCGAAGCAAUGGUUCAAUUAGGUAAUGUUGGUUUUUACGUGGGCGAACAACAAUUACUUCAGCAAGAUGAAAGUAUGGAUGUUGAUCCCAAUUACGACCCGUCGGACUUUCUGUUGGCCGGUUUGCCAGCUAGAGAAGAUAAGAGCGAGAAUAAGAUUCAAGACGAUCUGGCUGUUUCCGAGAGCGAUGACGACGCUGAGAGCAGUAACAAUUUACAAUCUAAGCAAGAAACUCAGCAGAACCAACAGCAGCAACAAUUAUCACAACCAGAUGAAGAUGUUGCCGGCGAUUUGUGGUUUUAAGCACAUUUAAUUGUGUUAUUAAAGCAACAUAGAGACAUUCACUCUUAACAUCAAGUACGUGAUUAAAGGAAGCACAGGUCAAUAAGCUCAGCGGCAAUUUUGCACAACCACGUAGUGUGCAUGCAUAUGUUAUUGCAAUAUGUUUAUACGUAAAAUAAUUACAUUUACUAUAAACGACAUAUCGCAUACCGUACACAUAUGCUUACAAAUGGGUUAUUUAACGCGUUAGUACGUUAAAGUUAAUCGUUGAGUUAAAAUAAUGUUAUUUAUGAAGGUGAUAGAACAGCUGAUAGAAUCAAACAUGAAUAUUUUAACGCAAUGAAGGUUACAAUUUCAUGUCUCUACUGUGAUCUAACAUUAAAGAAAAAAAAUUGAAAGUUAAUAACCUGCAGAAAGACA